This 605-nucleotide ribosomal RNA is filed under the name uncultured marine eukaryote. RNAcentral's name for it is "SSU rRNA". It matches the Rfam family "Eukaryotic small subunit ribosomal RNA", at positions 614 to 1220 of the family's 1831-position model. The record is from RNAcentral.
UGUGGUUAAAAAGCUCGUAGUUGGAUCUCGGCGGACUGAGGGCGGUUUGCUUGCUAGUAUUACUGCCCUAUAGUCCGUAGUUUUGCCAGAGGUUUCGGGGUGCUCUUAAUCGAGUGUCCCGGGAUGCUGGCAGGUUUACUUUGACAAAAUUAGAGUGCUCAAAGCAGGCUAUUACGCCUGAAUAUUCGUGCAUGGAAUAAUAGAAUAGGAAGUCGUUUCUAUUUUGUUGGUUUUCGGAAAUCGACUUAAUGAUUAAUAGGGACAGUCGGGGGCAUUUGUAUUCAAACGACAGAGGUGAAAUUCUUGGACCGUUUGAAGACAAACUACUGCGAAAGCAUUUGCCAAGUAUGUUUUCAUUAAUCAAGAACGAAAGUUAAAGGUUCGAAGGCGAUUAGAUACCGCCCUAGUUUUAACCAUAAACGAUGCCAGCUAGCGAUCUGCGGACGUUUUUUUUGUAGACUCCGCAGGAAGCUUCCGGGAAACCAAAGCAUUUGGGUUCCAGGGGAAGUAUGGUUGCAAAGCUGAAACUUAAAGGAAUUGACGGAAGGGCACCACCAGGAGUGGAGCCUGUGGCUUAAUUUGACUCAACACGGGAAAUCUCACCA